UAGUGGCGACGACCGGGAAAUUAGCCCAGCACCGAAUCCUGUAUCUUUGAUAUUAGGAAUUGUGGUGUAAAGGUUGCAUCUUCGAUAGUGGAAUGUAUUCCAAAUUCACUUGAUUGUGAUGUUGUCCAGAGAGGGUGUUAGACCCGUUGGAAUACACNAGACUUCNUCNUCGANGCNNCCUAUGANUCNGANUGUUUGANANUGCACCCCANAUNGGGNGGNAUACNCCNUCUANGGCUAAAUACUUGUGNGANNCCGAUAGCANACAAGNNCCGUGAGGNAAAGUUGAAAAGANCUUUGAAGAGAGAGUUAAAUAGUACGUGAAAUCGCUUAGAGGUAAACGAGUGGAGCCGAAGCUGNAGUAUGGGAUUCAGUUUGUUGUAUAACAUGUGUGUANAGAAUAAAUUAUAUAUUAAUAUGCCUUUGCACUUGUUUGUUGUAUAAUAAAUGCACUUUCCAUAUUACUCGACUGCGACCAAUASAGUUGUUUCUCUGUCGUUGNGAUAAAGUUGAUCUAUUGCUUANGCAAUUGGUUUUAUAGUUCACUUCACGGUUUAAUAAUGUAUNGGUGAAUACGAUUUGGUCAAUGUUGGUGAUGGAGUAUGUUAUGUGAAUAACNCCUGGCAAUUGAUUUGACUAGUGUUGNUCAUGUUUNGUACUAUGUUGUCGAUGGAUCUUAUCUAAAGUCUGCAGUGUUUAUGUAGGUUACCUACUCGUCCCGUCUUGAAACACGGACCAAGGAGUUUUAUAUUAUCGCGAGUCANAGGGCUAUACGAAACCCCACGGCGCANUGAAUGUAAAGGUUUGCUCUUCAUGUAAACUGAGAUGUGACCUGSUGGCAAUUGAAAACCAUCANUGCAACAUCGACCCGUCUAAAGGAGUUCGCUUCUGGGCGGAGUUUGAGCGAUAAUGUAGAGACCCGAAAGAUGGUGAACUAUGCUUGUGCAGGUUGAAGUCAGAGGAAACUCUGAUGGAGGACCGCCNCGGUUCUGACGUGCAAAUCGAUCGUCGGACAUGAGUAUAGGGGCGAAAGACUAAUCGAACCAUCUANUANCUGGUUCCCUCCGAAGNUUCCCUCACGAUAGCUGGCAUUNAAAUGUGUAGNUUUACCCGGUAAAGCGAAUGAUUAGAAGUAUUGGGGACGAAAUGGUUUUCA
Molecule: ribosomal RNA, 1156 nt
Filed under: Rhynchodemus sylvaticus
Lineage: Eukaryota; Metazoa; Platyhelminthes; Tricladida; Geoplanidae
Description: partial 28S ribosomal RNA
Rfam family: Eukaryotic large subunit ribosomal RNA
Source: RNAcentral